RNAcentral lists this unclassified non-coding RNA (216 nucleotides) under Arabidopsis thaliana (thale cress). Its description in RNAcentral is "partial MIR397b microRNA precursor". The stretch from base 40 to 146 matches the Rfam family "MIR397 microRNA precursor family". The record is from RNAcentral. Lineage: Eukaryota; Viridiplantae; Streptophyta; Magnoliopsida; Brassicales; Brassicaceae.
AAUAGAAAUGAGCAAGGAGAUAUUUUUUUCCCCUGGGUUUGAAUGAACAUCAUUGAGUGCAUCGUUGAUGUAAUUUUACUUAUUUUAUUCCAUUGUUGAAUUAAUUAAAGAAGUAUAUAUCAGCGUUGCAUUCAAUUAUGUUUUUCUAAUUUUCAGGAAAUACAAAAAAAAUGAAAAAAAAAAAUCACUUAAAAGACCUUGAGAGUUCUUUUGACU